RNAcentral lists this ribosomal RNA (253 nucleotides) under uncultured bacterium. RNAcentral describes it as "partial 16S ribosomal RNA". It matches the Rfam family "Bacterial small subunit ribosomal RNA", at positions 524 to 776 of the family's 1533-position model. The record is from RNAcentral.
UACGGAGGGAGCUAGCGUUGUUCGGAUAUACUGGGCGUAAAGCGCACGUAGGCGGCGCCGUAAGUCAGGGGUGAAAUCCCGGAGCUCAACUCCGGAACUGCGCUUGAAACUGCAGUGCUAGAAUCUUGGAGAGGCGAGUGGAAUUCCGAGUGUAGAGGUGAAAUUCGUAGAUAUUCGGAAGAACACCAGUGGCGAAGGCGACUCGCUGGACAAGUAUUGACGCUGAGGUGCGAAAGCGUGGGGAGCGAACAGG